RNAcentral lists this ribosomal RNA (447 nucleotides) under uncultured bacterium. RNAcentral describes it as "bacterial SSU rRNA". It matches the Rfam family "Bacterial small subunit ribosomal RNA", at positions 331 to 793 of the family's 1533-position model. The record is from RNAcentral.
CCAGACUCCUACGGGAGGCAGCAGUGGGGAAUAUUGCACAAUGGGGGAAACCCUGAUGCAGCGACGCCGCGUGAGCGAUGAAGUAUUUCGGUAUGUAAAGCUCUAUCAGCAGGGAAGAAGAUGACGGUACCUGACUAAGAAGCCCCGGCUAACUACGUGCCAGCAGCCGCGGUAAUACGUAGGGGGCAAGCGUUAUCCGGAUUUACUGGGUGUAAAGGGAGCGUAGACGGCGAUGCAAGCCAGGAGUGAAAGGCCGGGGCCCAACCCCGGGACUGCUCUUGGAACUGCAUGGCUGGAGUGCGGGAGGGGCAGGCGGAAUUCCUGGUGUAGCGGUGAAAUGCGUAGAUAUCAGGAGGAACAUCAGUGGCGAAGGCGACUAUCUGGCACAUAACUGACGCUGAGGAGCGAAAGCGUGGGUAGCAAACAGGAUUAGAUACCCCGGUAUAA